CCUACGGUGGGCUGCAGUGAGGAAUAUUGGUCAAUGGGCGCGAGCCUGAACCAGCCAAGUAGCGUGAAGGAUGACUGCCCUACGGGUUGUAAACUUCUUUUAUAAAGGAAUAAAGUGAUGCACGUGUGCCUUUUUGUAUGUACUUUAUGAAUAAGGGUCGGCUAACUCCGUGCCCGCAGCCGCGGUAAUACGGAGGAUCCGAGCGUUAUCCGGAUUUGUUGGGUUUAAAGGGAGAGUAGAUGGGUUGUUAAGUCAGUUGUGAAAGUUUGCGGCUCCACCCUAAAAUUGCAAUUGAUAAUGGCAGCACUGAGUACAGUUGAGGGAGGCGGAAUUCGUGGUGUAGCGGUGAAAUGCUUAGAUAUCACGAAGAACUCCUAGUGCGAAGGCAGCCUACUAAACUGCCACUGACAUUGAUGCUCGAAAGUGUGGGUAUCAAACAGGAUUAGAUACCCCAGUAGUC
RNAcentral lists this ribosomal RNA (460 nucleotides) under uncultured bacterium. RNAcentral describes it as "partial 16S ribosomal RNA". It matches the Rfam family "Bacterial small subunit ribosomal RNA", at positions 338 to 795 of the family's 1533-position model. The record is from RNAcentral.